GGGGAAGUUGCCCAAGACAGCCCAACUGUUUGGUAAUGAGUGGAGUGUCUGUGGCAGAGUCUUAAUUGAAGAACUAGCUAUUAAGUAAGAGGCUCUUGUUAUGUUCCAGUGACCAUGUAAGUGAAGAAAUCAGAAAGCAGGGUAGAGAUGAAAACCUGGGAAGAAGACAUCCUGGAACUCAAGACCACAGAGAAAGUUUGCAAAAUCUGGAAUCUCUUAGGCUCUUUGGUAUCGGAAAUGUUUAACAUGAAGAGAUGUUCUACACAUCAGAUAUCCACACAUUUCUGAUAAAAUCUUAGGAAAAUAAAAGGAGAAUAUAGAACCAAUUGUUCAGGGUGGUUGUGCUGUGGAGGAUUGAAAAAAUGAUGAGAAAUAGAAGGG
RNAcentral lists this long non-coding RNA (381 nucleotides) under Canis lupus familiaris (dog). Its description in RNAcentral is "lncRNA (ENSCAFG00000058745.1)". Lineage: Eukaryota; Metazoa; Chordata; Mammalia; Carnivora; Canidae. The record is from RNAcentral.